This 558-nucleotide ribosomal RNA is filed under the name uncultured bacterium. RNAcentral describes it as "partial 16S ribosomal RNA". It matches the Rfam family "Bacterial small subunit ribosomal RNA", at positions 355 to 906 of the family's 1533-position model. The record is from RNAcentral.
UGGGGAAUUUUGGACAAUGGGGGAAACCCUGAUCCAGCCAUCCCGCGUGUGCGAUGAAGGCCUUCGGGUUGUAAAGCACUUUUGGCAGGAAAGAAACGUCGCGGGUUAAUACCCCGCGGAACUGACGGUACCUGCAGAAUAAGCACCGGCUAACUACGUGCCAGCAGCCGCGGUAAUACGUAGGGUGCAAGCGUUAAUCGGAAUUACUGGGCGUAAAGCGUGCGCAGGCGGUUCGGAAAGAAAGAUGUGAAAUCCCAGAGCUUAACUUUGGAACUGCAUUUUUAACUACCGGGCUAGAGUGUGUCAGAGGGAGGUGGAAUUCCGCGUGUAGCAGUGAAAUGCGUAGAUAUGCGGAGGAACACCGAUGGCGAAGGCAGCCUCCUGGGAUAACACUGACGCUCAUGCACGAAAGCGUGGGGAGCAAACAGGAUUAGAUACCCUGGUAGUCCACGCCCUAAACGAUGUCAACUAGCUGUUGGGGUCUUCGGACCUUGGUAGCGCAGCUAACGCGUGAAGUUGACCGCCUGGGGAGUACGGUCGCAAGAUUAAAACUCAAAU